UGACUGUCUCUUCGGAGCAUCCGAGACAGGUGGUGCAUGGUUGUCGUCAGCUCGUGUCGUGAGAUGUUGGGUUAAGUCCCGCAACGAGCGCAACCCUUACCUUCAGUAGCCAGCGAGUAGCGUCGGGCACUCUGGAGGGACUGCCAGGGAUAACCUGGAGGAAGGGGGGGAUGACGUCAAAUCAUCAUGCCCCUUAUGAUUUGGGCUACACACGUGCUACAAUGGCGUAAACAAAGGGAAGCGAGACGGUGAUGUUAAGCAAAUCUCAAAAAUAACGUCUCAGUUCGGAUUGUAGUCUGCAACUCGACUACAUGAAGCUGGAAUCGCUAGUAAUCGCGAAUCAGAAUGUCGCGGUGAAUACGUUCCCGGGUCUUGGACACACCGAAA
RNAcentral lists this ribosomal RNA (387 nucleotides) under uncultured Robinsoniella sp. RNAcentral describes it as "bacterial SSU rRNA". It matches the Rfam family "Bacterial small subunit ribosomal RNA", at positions 1009 to 1395 of the family's 1533-position model. The record is from RNAcentral. Lineage: Bacteria; Bacillati; Bacillota; Clostridia; Lachnospirales; Lachnospiraceae.